GACGAACGCUGGCGGCGUGCUUAACACAUGCAAGUCGAACGGAAAGGCCCUGCGUUUGCGCGGUGCUCGAUUGGGGAACGGGUGAGUAACACGUGAGUAACAUGCACUUGUCUUUGUGAUAACUUUAGGAAAAUGGGGCUAAUAUAGGAGAGGAGCUCCUGCAGCAUGGGGGGGGAUGGAAAGAGUCGGCGGUUGUGGAUGGAAUGGCGGCUUAUGAGCUGGUUGGGGAGGUAGUGGAGUACAAAGGUUAUGAAGGGUAGCCGGCCUGAGAGGGUGGACGGCCACCUUGGGCCUGAGAGACGGCGCAGUCUCCUACGGGAGGCAGCAGUGGGGAAUAUUGCACAAUGGGCGGACGCCUGAUGCAGCAACGCCGCGUGCGGGAUGACGGCCUUCGAGUUGUAAACAGCUUUCGCCUGUGACGAAGCGUGAGUGACGGUAAUGGGUAAAGAAGCACCGGCUAACUACGUG
RNAcentral lists this ribosomal RNA (468 nucleotides) under uncultured bacterium. Its description in RNAcentral is "partial 16S ribosomal RNA". It matches the Rfam family "Bacterial small subunit ribosomal RNA", at positions 28 to 507 of the family's 1533-position model. The record is from RNAcentral.